This 2110-nucleotide long non-coding RNA is filed under the name Homo sapiens (human). Its description in RNAcentral is "HSALNT0215187". The record is from RNAcentral. Lineage: Eukaryota; Metazoa; Chordata; Mammalia; Primates; Hominidae.
GUCUCUUUUGCUCUCACUCUCUCCUCUCACCCUCAAAUUGUGGUAAAAUAAACAUAACAUAAAAUUUAGCAUCUUAACCACUUUUAAGCACACAGUUCAGUAAAUCAAGCCUGACAUCACCUCUGGCCUUUGACUCCCUCUGGCCCACUUCCCCGUCCGCCCUCUCCAGCCAGACCACCAUAAAGUGCAGUUCCUCAAAGCUUCUGCAAAGCCUCCCAGCUUCCCAGUCAGGCCUGGCUCCAGUCUAAUGGAAGAGAUAAGAUCCCCUCUUUACUCCCUAACUGUGGGCAGCCCCAGCCUCCCAUCCCCUGCAAGGCAGGGCAGGAUGAUGCCACCGGUCCCAGUUUGCCAGCUGUAAAAUCCAUUAGGGAACAUCCAGCACAAACCACCCGCCUUCAGGCCUUUUCCUGCCCUCUGCCUGUCAUUCUCCUUGGCCCCCAGGGUGCAGAGGGUCCCCAGCUUCCUUCCCCUGAAGAUGCCCGGAGACAAGCAUCUUUGGACCCCCGGUCCCUGCAGGGAACUCCAGCCAGCUGCCUGAAGCAAACGGGGCCUGAGAGAUGGAAUUGGGUCAGGUCAUCCUUGACCCAUUUCCUCUGGAAGGGAGUCGGGUGUCAGGAAACACAUUUGCCUUUGGGUUUUUAAUGUAAUUCAACAAACCACAGCUGAAGCUCUUAUCCUGUGCUGGGCAUUGGGGGUGUGGAGUUCUGUCAUUCAUGACCGAGGACCUCAUCAUGAGACAUUAGAGGGGCUCAUCUUCCAGGUGAGCAAUGUGAAGAUAAUGAUAGAUGGCCCAAGGGAAUGUGCUGCUGGUGGUGACUCAUCUCAGAGCUGAGGGCAGUCCCUCAGGGAAACAUUUGGAUGCUCCGCUCUGGCCAUGUCCCAGGCGAGCUGAUGGGCAGAGAGUUCUGCCUGCUUGCCCAGGGAACUCCAUUCCCAGAGGCUACAGAGACUGCAACCUGGUAGAACCAGCCUGAAGCCCCCCUCCAGCCUGGGCUUUGGGGUCCUCAUUGCCCCAUGUUGUGGGUUUGGACCCACUUCAGCAUGAGCAAGGGUCUUUAUAUCUUUAAGCCUCAGGGUUCCAUCUCAAACAUGGGGGUAAAACAGUAUCAAACCCUGGGGGCAGGUGUCGAUGUGGGAAUUACAUAAAGCAAGGCUGCAAAGUGCCGCCCAAGGGGCUCAAGCACCCACGAGCACCAAACGAGCACAUUCUUUGUCUCCCUUGUCGGUGUUCCCUCUGUCCCGCCACCACUGGGCACCUCCCAGGGUCUCCUCGCCUCGUCUGCUGUCAGUACCUGCCCAUCCCUCCCGCUCCCAGCUUUUCUUUUUAAACACCCUCUGGGUGCUGCAUGUGCCUUUCCACAUGCAGAGAACGGGCUAAGAAAGAAAGGGGUGGGAGGGACAGGUAAGCAGGGAUAACUAAUUCAUCAACCGACCCACUGGUGGUCCUUUCUCCCUCCUCUCCUUCCCUCCUCUCUCUCUCUCUGACACACACACACACACACACACACACACACACACACACACACACACGCCACAGCGCCACCUUUCUCAAGUAGCACCUUAAAGCUCUGCAUGGCUGUUAAAGAGGCUGGAAACUAAAGUCAUAAGAAUAAUUGCCUGGCUCUCCUUUAAGCAAAGGAGAUUGCACUUGUGCUUGGAAGCACCAGUAACUGGGCUGUUACGUUAUAUUACAAGUAUAUUUAUAUGAAAAUACUGAAAAUAUCAAUUCUUUUUUAAAAAACAGUUAUGCAAACAAACAGACUUGAUGGCAUCAUUAUCAAAAUUUAAAAAAUAUAGGUAGAUAUUCCCACCCCCGCCCGCAUGUUCCAGCUUCUCCUUCCCCAACAUGUGGUAUAUGUGACAGGCUGCAUACAUGUUAUUGUUCUUGCUUUCUAGGGUUGACUGCAGACCAAGUCAACAAUACCACAAAAUCCCAUUGGAGGGAGCCAUUGCUAGGAAUUUUCCCAACUCCAAAUAGAACUCGUAUAUGAAAUUAUACAUACUGAGCAUUUACAUACAGAUCAUAUAAAAAUUCUAGACAUUAUUCCCUAGUCACAUGUAGUACACAUUUAGUAUAAAUAGACUAAGACAACACUGUAUAAAAAGUAAG